This 433-nucleotide ribosomal RNA is filed under the name uncultured bacterium. RNAcentral's name for it is "partial 16S ribosomal RNA". It matches the Rfam family "Bacterial small subunit ribosomal RNA", at positions 29 to 507 of the family's 1533-position model. The record is from RNAcentral.
AAUGAACGCUGGCGGCAUGCCUAACACAUGCAAGUCGAACGAAGGCUUCGGCCUUAGUGGCGCACGGGUGCGUAACGCGUGGGAAUCUGCCCCUUGGUUCGGAAUAACAGUUAGAAAUGACUGCUAAUACCGGAUGAUGACGUAAGUCCAAAGAUUUAUCGCCGAGGGAUGAGCCCGCGUAGGAUUAGCUAGUUGGUGUGGUAAGAGCGCACCAAGGCGACGAUCCUUAGCUGGUCUGAGAGGAUGAUCAGCCACACUGGGACUGAGACACGGCCCAGACUCCUACGGGAGGGAGCAGUGGGGAAUAUUGGACAAUGGGCGAAAGCCUGAUCCAGCAAUGCCGCGUGAGUGAUGAAGGCCUUAGGGUUGUAAAGCUCUUUUACCCGGGAUGAUAAUGACAGUACCGGGAGAAUAAGCUCCGGCUAACUCCGUG